AUAGCAAUAACUUUCUAAUCUUCAGUCCUCAAAUAGGUAAAUCUAGCUUGAAGUUUGCAUUCUAACAUAAAAAAUUUUCUACAAAGGAGCCACAGAACUCUGAAAAGUAGGGAGGAAACAUAAGGAGUAACAUACAAUAAAAUCUAAUCAAUCUAGAUUAAAGAAAGGCACUGGUAUAAUUAUCAUCAAAAUGUUAGUGGACACAAACUAG
This 211-nucleotide unclassified non-coding RNA is filed under the name Hevea brasiliensis (rubber tree). Lineage: Eukaryota; Viridiplantae; Streptophyta; Magnoliopsida; Malpighiales; Euphorbiaceae. The record is from RNAcentral.